Molecule: ribosomal RNA, 2159 nt
Filed under: Candidatus Gottesmanbacteria bacterium
Lineage: Bacteria; Candidatus Gottesmaniibacteriota
Description: partial 16S ribosomal RNA
Rfam family: Bacterial small subunit ribosomal RNA (bases 1181-2159)
Source: RNAcentral
GCCAGCAGGAGCGGUAAUACGAAGGCCCCAAGCGUUAUCCGGAAUUACUGGGCGUAAAGCGCGAGCAGCCGGUUUUGAUAGUCCGGUGUUAAAUCUCACUGCUUAACGGUGAGGCCGCAUCGGAAACGUCAACGCGUGCAUGGCACGCAGUUUAUAAAGUUUAAAGUUUUUAAAGUUUAUAAAGUAAAAAUCCCAAUACUUUAUAACUUUACGAACUUGAUGAACUUGUAACUUGCGCGCUGUGCGCGCAUCCAACUAGAGCGAGUCAGAGGCAAGCGGAACGUGCGGUGUAGGGGUGAAAUCCGUUGAUAUCGCACGGAACACCAAAAGCGAAGGCAGCUUGCUAGGGCUCUGCUGACGGUCAAUUGCGAAAGCGUGGGCAGAAAAAAGGAUUAGAUAAGUCCUGUUUUGUCAAGAUUGACAAAACGAAUGGUGUCCUCUCCAAUAGCGAUGUUGGGGUGUGCAUCCAGCUAUAUCGGGGAAACCCUAAUCAUGAUAAAAUAUAAGGGUAAUCCCGAGGGAAGUCUCAUUGUAAUGAGACCCCGUAGAGACUAUGUAAUUAUUGAAAUAGAAAAUGAUUAACUCAUCAUUUUUGUCGGACAGAAGCAAAGAAAUUAUCUUAGGUUCAUUACUUGGCGAUGGAUCAUUAAAGAUCCAUUCAGGAUAUAAGAAUGCGCGAUUUUCGUUUCGCCAUUCUAUUCGUCAGAAAGACUAUUUUUUCUGGAAAGCAAAAGAACUUCAAGAGAUUUCAGGAAAUUCAUAUUUCUGGAAACAAAAGCCGGACGGUUUUGGCGGAGAAAAAUUAAGAUAUCAAAGUCUUGCUCUUAGCCAACUGACCGAGCUGUAUAAUCUUACUCACCAAAGAGAUGAAUUUGUAGCUCAACCGGAAUGGUUGAAACUGCUUACCCCUCUUUCUUUGGCAGUAUGGUGGUUAGAUGACGGUUCGCUUAUAGUGAACAGCUGUCGCGGUGUAAUAUGCACCGAUCCGUUUCCAUAUGAAUUUCAACAGGCAUUAGCUGACUACUUAAAUAAGACAUGGAAAAUAAAAGUCAAAGUCGGCAAAAUAAAACGAAACUGGAAUGGCGAAAUAAGAGAAUAUUAUCGCUUAUGGAUCAGAUCCGGAGAAGAAUUAAAGAAACUUAUUAGACUGAUCCUGCCCCAUGUUAAAGUUGCCUCAAUGCUACCAAAAGUACUGUUUCUGUAUCGUAACUCUGAAUUACAACAACGCUGGAUUUCUGAAGUCAGUGUGUCAACAGGAUUUUCACACGACCUUAUCCAAAAGCAUGUUGAUGAGAAAAAGAGCAGGUGGAAACACUUCAGAAAAUGAUAUAGUCCGAUCCUCCAGGUAACUGGAGAAACACUGGAAGCAGUGUAUUAGUUAAAUAUACAAGAUGACCCUUGUAUUCCACGCCCUAAACGAUGCAGACUAGCUAUCGGGAGCAUCGACCCUCUCGGUGGCGUAGCUAACGCGUUAAGUCUGUCGCCUGGGAAGUACGAUCGCAAGAUUAAAACUCAAAGAAAUAGACGGGGAUCCGCACAAGCGGUGGACCAUGUGGUUCAAUUCGAUAGUAAGCGAAGAACCUCACCAGGGUUAGAAAUCCGGCUGCACACCCGCCGAAAGGCGGGAGCCUUCGAGGGUGCCGGACAGGUAUUGCACGGCCGUCGUCAGCUCGUUCCGUGGGGAGUUCCAUUAAGUUGGGAAACGAGCGCAACCCCUAUUGCGUGUUACAAGUGUCACGCGAGACUGCCCAGCCCUUUGCGCACAAGCGCAAAGGGAAAUCAUAAAUCCUAAUCUCUAAAUCCUAAACAAAUCCAAAAUUUCAAAUUCAAAUUUCAAAAGUGUUUUGAUAUUUGGAUUUUGGAAAUUAGAUAUUGUUUAGAGUUUGGGAUUUAGAAUUUUGAAUUUUCUUUGUUCGUCUGCGAACAAAGGGCUGGGAGGAAGGUGGGGAUGACGUCAGGUCAGCGUGGUCCUCUGACACCCUGGGCUACACACGUGGUACAAUGGGCGGUACAAUGGGUCGCCAAGUCGCAAGACGGAGCCAAUCCCAUCAAAGCCGUCCUCAGUUCGGAUAAGAGGCUGCAACUUGCCUCUUUGAAGCUGGAAUCGCUAGUAAUCGCAGAUCAGAACGCUGCGGUGAAUACGUUCUCGGAUCUUGUAC